GGGCCCGCACAAGCGGUGGAGGAUGUGGUUUAAUUCGACGCAACGCGAAGAACCUUACCAGGGCUUGACAUCCGGCGAAUCUCUUCGAAAGAAGAGAGUGCCUUCGGGAGCGCCGAGACAGGUGGUGCAUGGCUGUCGUCAGCUCGUGUCGUGAGAUGUUGGGUUAAGUCCCGCAACGAGCGCAACCCUCGGAUUUAGUUGCCAGCAUUUAGUUGGGCACUCUAGAGAGACCGCCGGUGACAAACCGGAGGAAGGUGGGGACGACGUCAGGUCAUCAUGGCCCUUACGACCUGGGCUACACACGUGCUACAAUGGCUGGUACAGAGGGUUGCGAAGUCGCGAGGCGAAGCUAAUCCCUUAAAGCCAGUCGUAGUCCGGAUUGCAGUCUGCAACUCGACUGCAUGAAGUCGGAAUCGCUAGUAAUCG
This 426-nucleotide ribosomal RNA is filed under the name uncultured bacterium. Its description in RNAcentral is "bacterial SSU rRNA". It matches the Rfam family "Bacterial small subunit ribosomal RNA", at positions 917 to 1344 of the family's 1533-position model. The record is from RNAcentral.